AUGGGCCGAGAGGUGAGGUCCAGA
Molecule: non-coding RNA, 24 nt
Filed under: Arabidopsis thaliana (thale cress)
Lineage: Eukaryota; Viridiplantae; Streptophyta; Magnoliopsida; Brassicales; Brassicaceae
Source: RNAcentral